AUUUUCCUUUACUUCUUUUUGUAAUUUUUAAUAUAAUUGAAAUUUUUAAAAUCCUUAUAAUCUUUUUAUGUCUCUUUCCCUGUGGGACUGAAAAUUUCAACACAGAAACUAUUGUGUUAGAUUUAUUCACCUGUGUUUCUUGAAGGCAAUUCCACAAUCUCCCACUUUGAUACUCAAAUUAUACAGAAGACAGGAAUUGAAUGAACAUAUGAGUAGGUAAAUAUUACCAUCCAUUCUCUGAUUUGGUUUAGAAAACCAGGGUUUGAAUUUGGGUUUUAAGGAUAAACAGACUCAAAGUUUUCUUUGAUAAGAGUUUAAUAAAUAAAAUGAAAUGCAAAUUUAAUAAAAUAGGAAGGUAAACAUGUUUUCUAAAUUUUAAUACAAUAUAAAGGCAAAUAUCUUUCAUAUUAAACUAUAAAUAUAAAUAUAAGAUGAAGAAUAAAUAAAUAUAAAUAAAUAAACAAUAAAUAAAAACAUCAGGGCAGUCAUGUCUCAGCCACUGAUGCCACAGGAACUGAAUAUUUUUUACAUAUUCUUGCUUAAUACUACUGGCAAAAUAUUUGCUGAAUUAAAUUCAAUAGAGUCUGCAACUAAAGCAGAAAUAAGAGCCUUUUGAAAUGACCAAGGACAUAUGCAAGGGUAACAUGACCCAGUAGUUAAGGAGAAUCUUUUCAAGGUGAGCCCAGGUCUCCAUCCUUCAUUCUUAACCUUUCUUGCAGGUUUGCUGAUGAAGAGAAGGAUCUCAUGAUUUCCAUUCGGACAAUCUCCCAGGCACAGUCACUGUAUUUCUUCUCUUUCAGGUAGAGAUGGAUUCCCCGGAAGUACCUUUCACAGCCAGUGUAGGGCCCUCCACUCCCAGCACAGAUUCUUCCUCUCACAUCUCCUGAUCCAAACAGGUGUCCAGGUCUUCCAGCUGCUGAUGAAAUCGGUGCAGAGUUUGUCCAGGAGGAUCGUGUUCCAGGCAGCAGAAGAGUACUCCGUGUGAUACACCACAUUAGCAAAAUGAGGAACUAGCUAGUUUUCCAGAAGUAGCUCUGGACCAGUGCCAGGAGCUACCAAAAACCAGGUUGCCAGGGGCAACUCUUAACCACUACCAGAACUUGUCCAGAUCUAGAAGUAACUUCAUGAAUGAAACUUUUAUGCUGUCCCUAAUUAUCUUGGGUGGUUCAGGCCAAAGGUUCAGGUCUCAGCCCACAAAGAUUACUCAGAAUACAAGCUAAACCUAAAUUUCCAGGAAAUCAAACCAGAGAGAUGAGGGAAGGGC
Molecule: long non-coding RNA, 1264 nt
Filed under: Equus caballus (horse)
Lineage: Eukaryota; Metazoa; Chordata; Mammalia; Perissodactyla; Equidae
Description: lncRNA (ENSECAG00000053923.1)
Source: RNAcentral